GUGAGGAAUAUUGGUCAAUGGGCGAGAGCCUGAACCAGCCAAGUCGCGUGAAGGAUGAAGGUUUUAUGAAUUGUAAACUUCUUUUGCAGGGGAAUAAAGUACGGUACGUGUACCGUUUUGUAUGUACUCUGCGAAUAAGGAUCGGCUAACUCCGUGCCAGCAGCCGCGGUAAUACGGAGGAUCCAAGCGUUAUCCGGAUUUAUUGGGUUUAAAGGGUGCGCAGGCGGGUGGAUAAGUCAGCGGUGAAAGUUUGCAGCUUAACUGUAAAAUUGCCGUUGAAACUGUCGAUCUUGAGUGCAAAUGAGGUAAGCGGAAUGUGUUGUGUAGCGGUGAAAUGCUUAGAUAUAACACAGAACACCGAUUGCGAAGGCAGCUUACUGGGAUGCAACUGACGCUCAUGCACGAAAGCGUGGGGAUCAAACAGGAUUAGAUACCCGGGUAGUCC
This 445-nucleotide ribosomal RNA is filed under the name uncultured bacterium. Its description in RNAcentral is "partial 16S ribosomal RNA". It matches the Rfam family "Bacterial small subunit ribosomal RNA", at positions 354 to 796 of the family's 1533-position model. The record is from RNAcentral.